Molecule: long non-coding RNA, 844 nt
Organism: Cucurbita moschata (crookneck pumpkin)
Lineage: Eukaryota; Viridiplantae; Streptophyta; Magnoliopsida; Cucurbitales; Cucurbitaceae
Exons: 2
Source: RefSeq, a predicted model, not a curated record
UGAACUUUUUCUCUGGAAUGUACAAUUUUAUCCUUGAAUGCGCCCGUGUAAAAUGUUCAGCUCUGUCACGUGAUUGUGCUGAAAAUUUUCGAUCUUCAUUUAUUUUGAUUAGGACUAGUAAUUUGUUUUAUUGGGAUUGUUCUUUUUCUUAUAUAUCAUUGAAUUUUUUUUAUGUGGGACCUUACUACUUCUCAUGGUCAUAUGAUUCAUUGCGCACAUGCAUUGCACAUGUUUAUGAAUUAUAUUUUUCAUACAGCAUUGGUAGUUUUUCUUUCAUAAUAGUUUCUGGAAAGCAUCCCAAGUUUGUUUAGCCGAAUUUGUAGCCACCUCAACACUUAUUCACUGCCUACCUCAUUUUAUUGUUUAGUAUUAGCCCAAACUCUAUAUAAUUAAUUAGUAUAAAACAAUGAUGUUUAUUCGAUUUAAGGGAAUCAAUGCAGAGCUUGAAUGAAAAUGGAAAAACUGGUAUAAAAAGUUAAGGAAAUGGUUAUAGUAUUAAAAAAAAAAAAUAAAAAAAAAAUAAAUAAAAACAGAAAAGGCAAACAUGCCUUAAUAAAUUUUCUUCUCUUGUAGCCCAUUGAUAUUUAGUGUUGAUUAAGAUUAUUUAUUUUCUUUUUACAAAAAUUUAGAUGAUUUAUUUAUUUUUGAAAGAUGCAGUAGUCCUGAGAUAAAACAUGAUCUAUUUACUUUUUUUUCUCUCUUUACAUUGUCUUUUGGAGGUCAAAGUCUAUUUUUAUUUAUUUUUUCAAAAUUGUUUUUGAGUCAAAUUAUCUAUGAACAAGAAUAGUUGAGGACCUUUUUUGUGGUAUGCAACAUUAGUCCUUUGUAGUUUGCCCCCCCCCCA